Molecule: long non-coding RNA, 1064 nt
Organism: Conger conger (European conger)
Lineage: Eukaryota; Metazoa; Chordata; Actinopteri; Anguilliformes; Congridae
Exons: 3
Source: RefSeq, a predicted model, not a curated record
CUCGGCCGGCUUGCGUUUAAUCGUUUGUGGAGCUGUUCUCUACCUUAUCCGAGACAACGAAUACACACCCAGAUACAUAUCGUAAUCUGAACAGUGUUUUAUUUUCUUUAUUUUAGAUUCUUCUUUUGAAAUAGUGUCUUUAUUUUGAACAAAUAAAGAAUUUUUGCCGAAAAUCGAAAGCGAAGAUUUACUUUAGAUUUAUAAAAACGAUGAGUUCAAAAUAAAUAUUUUUUAUGUAAAUCCAUGAGUUUUUUGUUUUGGUUUUACUUUUUGUCGGAUAAGCGCUGUCCUAUCAAAUAGGUAGUUACGUGUAUGUAAUGUUUGGAUUAUGCAGUGUAUCCAAACCUAAUGUUUUAGGCUAUAUUGACAAAUAUUUCAUAAUUCACGUUUCUAAUUGUGUAUUGACGGACUGAUUUAAAGCUAUUAGGCUAUCCCAGACGCUGUAGUGAGAACCCGUCGGUGUCCCGCCUUAGACUUUUAUUUGAGAAGACUGGUAAUAGUGGUGAAGUUUCAAACAUUGGUGUUAUUAGGAAUUACUUUACGGGAAAGGACGGCAGCUGAUAAACCGGACAUUGCCGCUUUAAAUGCUGCCCCGGGUCAUUCGAAAUGCACCAGACCCAGAUGCCUGGCUGAAGCACGGAGAAAAGAAAACAGCUGAGUGUAUCAGACAAAACUCAAGUGGGAAUGCGUUGGUAAUGAUAAUCGAGCCAGAAAGAGUGAUGAAGCCUUUGACAGGAAGCUGUCAAAUGAAGGAUACUGUCAUCCUCCAAUCAAAAACUGUGGCAGACUGUAUGGAGUGGGUGGUACCCCUGCAGAGAUUAAGACAUGUAUGCAGGAGGCAUAGAUGAGUGUGUGUGUCCUCCAAAACGCACUCUCAGCCAACUCCGCUCCUCUUCUGUACAACAAACUACUGCACCAGAGGACUGAGGCAGAUGGGUUGCGUUUGGUCGUCCAGAGGAGCUGCUCGUGACCGCUGAGGACAGGUAGCCCUGCCGAAUGAAUCCCUCCCCCCCGGGUAACGCCACAAGCACCUGACCGUCGCCUGAGCAACAGCCUGGAUUCAA